Molecule: non-coding RNA, 23 nt
Filed under: Rattus norvegicus (Norway rat)
Lineage: Eukaryota; Metazoa; Chordata; Mammalia; Rodentia; Muridae
Source: RNAcentral
UUUGGCGUUGCAAUGAAAAUGGG